GCAGCCUUGCAAGAAAGCUGCUGAAAAGGUCUGUGGUGGGCUCAUGCAGAAGGCUGAGCAUCAGGAGGAGUUCACAUGCUGGCAAAGUUGAUCCAGCCUUGGAAAUGAAAGAUUGUGGAUGGCAGCAGCAGACUCUUCUGGAGAGACUCCAGGCUCAGGAGCUUGGUCCCAGGCUGGCGGAUGCUCCUGCAGAGGGACCUGCUACUCUUGCUGGAGACUGACAGAUGCUGCCAUGGCCCCUGCUCUGCGCUGUUUGAUGGAUGAAGGUUAUAGCUCCACGGGGGUUUCCAGCGUGGUCCUGGUGUUCACUCCUUCUUUGUUCAACUGAUGUCCUCAGAUGGCAACAGAUGGCCUUUGUGCUCUGACCCUCUUGCUUCUCUGACCAGUGACUUUUAAGUGCCAUCCAUCUUCCCCUGGGUUUGACAGAGUGAAGAGCAAGCAGGCUCAUGCCAGAGGGGAGAUUUUUACUCAUCCUGUGCUGGGAUUUUGUGGAAGAAGUGAGCGUACAGUGUUACCAAUAUCAUUGAGUCUUGGCACUAACCCUCAAUGAGCAUCAUGGUGGCAGUAGACAUGUCUUUUGCUUUCCUCCACUUCCACUGCCCUUGGUAUCUGUUGCUUUUGGUAGCUGGGGCAAGUGGGGUUGCACCUCUGAGAUGGUUUGUCAUUUCCCUUGAGAAAAGAAGUGUGAGGUCAGGGCAUGUCCCAUCGAUAUGGGAAAGCUCCAGCUGAGCCUGCCUGUGUGCAUCGUGCUGAACCCCGCUGGUAAAUGAUGGCAUUUGGGUCCUGAGAUGAGCCUGUUGCUCUCUGUGGGUGCUUUUCAUGCUGUGUGUAAUCUAAGGGACAACUCCAGAGAUCAGCGAUGAGACAGCAGAGCAUGCCGUGCACUGAAGUACAAAAUAAGGUAAACUAUAGCUCCCUGCUGUGCUGUAAUGUGCCCAUCAGCUGGUCUGAGGAGGAUGGUGGUAUCCCCUGUUUAUAGAUGUGGAGCUGUGUCGUAGGCAGAAAGCUGUUUAAGUUAAUCCAGGGAACUUCUGACAGGUUAAGGAGUUAAAUUGAUGGUGCACUGAAGAAAGACCUGGGCAAGGUGACCUUAGCUAGGGCUCAAACUGUGGUGUCUUCUGUCAGCUGUAGAUAAAGUCAGAUGCAGAUAAAGUCAGAUGCCUGCAUGUGUGGUAAUGCUUAACAUCUACCAGUCCCAUUGCAUCCCUAAGUGAGGACAUUCAAUGCCUGCAGAGUAGCAUUUAUAUGAGUAACUCUUUGCACUUCUAUUUGCUGUGCAUGUGUAAAAAUUAAGAGCUAUUUUUAAUGAAAACUGGACCUAAGAGUUGCAUGUCAAAGGAACUGUAGAAAGUGGAGUUUAAAGGGCUUUCAAGAGGUUACCUGGUCCAGCCCCUAAUCCAUUUGGGAUCAGCUCCACUUUUGUCAUACUGAGAGAUUUUUGUGUAACUUAUUCUUACAGGGUUUCAGUGAUGGGAGUUUCAAACCUCUAUUGAUAACCCGUUGAACUGAACACCCUGACUUACUCUACUGGGUAAAUGGGAUUGGGAUCCCAGCUGGGUGGGAAAUUAUCUGCGCUGUGACUGGGGAGAUCUAUGUGGUGGAGGGCUGCCUUGUGUGUCUGUAGCCACGUGUGUGCGCCAAUGCUGGGUGUUGCUUGGGAGAUGCCCCUGCCCUCCUAGGAAAACUUGUGCCUGCAAUGGAAAAAGAAGCUGUGACUAAUAAGUGAUGUGCUAAUGAGGAAGAAGGGAUUUCUGUUUGUCAAUAACUCCUGCAUGUCUGCAUCUCCAAAAAGGGGGGAUGACUUGGUCCUAAGAGCAGGUCCCCAGGGGAACUUGUUAGUUAUAAUGUCCCCUUGACCCCAAAUAUCUUCCUGUAACAGCUAUGUUUAAAAUGUGCCAGGCAGCUUGUAAUGUAACGUGUGCUCUACUUACUGCCGAUGAUGCGUAUUUUUAAAUAAAGCCACCACAUGACGCUAAA
Molecule: long non-coding RNA, 1977 nt
Organism: Gymnogyps californianus (California condor)
Lineage: Eukaryota; Metazoa; Chordata; Aves; Accipitriformes; Cathartidae
Exons: 3
Source: RefSeq, a predicted model, not a curated record